GACGAACGCUGGCGGCGUGCUUAACACAUGCAAGUCGAACGGAAAGGCCCUGCUUUUGUGGGGUGCUCGCGUGGCGAACGGGUGUGUAACACGUGAGUAACCUGCCCUUGACUUUGGGAUAACUUCAGGCAACUGGGGAUACUACCGGCUAGGAGCUCCUGCUGCAUGGUGGGGGUUGGAACGUUUAGGCGGUUGUGGAUGGACUCGCGGCUUAUCAGCUUGUUGGUGGAGUAGUGGCUUACCAAGGCUUUGACGGAUAGCCGGCCCGGGAGGGUGACCGGCCACAUGGGUACUGAGAUACGGCCCAGACUCCAACGGGAGGCAGCAGGGGGGAAUAUGGCACAAUGGGCGGAAGCCUGAGGCAGCAACGCCGCGAGCGGGAUGACGGCCUUCGGGUGGUAAACCGCUUUCGCCUGUGACGAAGCGGGAGUGACGGUAAUGGGUAAAGAAGCACCGGCUAACUACGUG
This 468-nucleotide ribosomal RNA is filed under the name uncultured bacterium. Its description in RNAcentral is "partial 16S ribosomal RNA". It matches the Rfam family "Bacterial small subunit ribosomal RNA", at positions 28 to 507 of the family's 1533-position model. The record is from RNAcentral.